GACGAACGCUGGCGGCGUGCUUAACACAUGCAAGUCGAACGCUGAAGCUCAGCUUUUGUUGGGUGGAUGAGUGGCGAACGGGUGAGUAACACGUGAGUAACCUGCCCCCUUCUUUGGGAUAACGCCCGGAAACGGGUGCUAAUACUGGAUAUUCACUGGUCUUCGCAUGGGGGUUGGUGGAAAGGGUUUUUCUGGUGGGGGAUGGGCUCGCGGCCUAUCAGCUUGUUGGUGGGGUGAUGGCCUACCAAGGCUUUGACGGGUAGCCGGCCUGAGAGGGCGACCGGUCACAUUGGGACUGAGAUACGGCCCAGACUCCUACGGGAGGCAGCAGUGGGGAAUAUUGCACAAUGGGCGCAAGCCUGAUGCAGCGACGCCGCGUGAGGGAUGGAGGCCUUCGGGUUGUGAACCUCUUUCGCUCAUGGUCAAGCCGCAACAAUGGUUGUGGUGAGGGUAGUGGGUAAAGAAGCGCCGGCUAACUACGUG
RNAcentral lists this ribosomal RNA (483 nucleotides) under uncultured bacterium. RNAcentral describes it as "partial 16S ribosomal RNA". It matches the Rfam family "Bacterial small subunit ribosomal RNA", at positions 28 to 507 of the family's 1533-position model. The record is from RNAcentral.